AAAUUGAAGAGUUUGAUCAUGGCUCAGAUUGAACGCUGGCGGCAGGCCUAACACAUGCAAGUCGAACGGUAACAGGAAGCAGCUUGCUGCUUGGCUGACGAGUGGCGGACGGGUGAGUAAUGUCUGGGAAACUGCCUGAUGGAGGGGGAUAACUACUGGAAACGGUAGCUAAUACCGCAUAACGUCGCAAGACCAAAGAGGGGGACCUUCGGGCCUCUUGCCAUCGGAUGUGCCCAGAUGGGAUUAGCUAGUAGGUGGGGUAA
Molecule: ribosomal RNA, 263 nt
Filed under: Escherichia coli
Lineage: Bacteria; Pseudomonadati; Pseudomonadota; Gammaproteobacteria; Enterobacterales; Enterobacteriaceae
Description: partial 16S ribosomal RNA
Rfam family: Bacterial small subunit ribosomal RNA
Source: RNAcentral